This 296-nucleotide ribosomal RNA is filed under the name uncultured bacterium. RNAcentral's name for it is "partial 16S ribosomal RNA". It matches the Rfam family "Bacterial small subunit ribosomal RNA", at positions 333 to 646 of the family's 1533-position model. The record is from RNAcentral.
AAUGGCCUACGGGGCGCAGCAGUGGGGAAUAUUGCACAAUGGGGGAAACCCUGAUGCAGCAACGCCGCGUGAGUGAUGACGGCCUCCGGGUUGUAAAGCUCUGUCUUCAGGGACGAUAAUGACGGUACCUGAGGAGGAAGCCACGGCUAACUACGUGCCAGCAGCCGCGGUAAUACGUAGGUGGCGAGCGUUGUCCGGAUUUACUGGGCGUAAAGGGAGCGUAGGCGGACUUUUAAGUGGGAUGUGAAAUACUCGGGCUCAACUUGAGUGCUGCAUUUCAAACUGGAAGUCUAGAG